ACUCCUGCGGGAGGCAUCAGUGGGGAAUAUUGGACAAUGGGCGCAAGCCUGAUCCAGCCAUGCCGCGUGAGUGAUGAAGGCACUAGGGUUGUAAAGCUCUUUCACCGGUGAAGAUAAUGACGGUAACCGGAGAAGAAGCCCCGGCUAACUUCGUGCUAGCAGCCGCGGUAAUACGAAGGGGGCUAGCGUUGUUCGGAUUUACUGGGCGUAAAGCGCACGUAGGCGGACUAUUAAGUCAGGGGUGAAAUCCCGGGGCUCAACCCCAGAACUGCCUUUGAUACUGGUAGUCUUGAGUUCGAGAGAGGUGAGUGGAAUUCCGAGUGUAGAGGUGAAAUUCGUAGAUAUUCGGAGGAACACCAGUGGCGAAGGCGGCUCACUGGCUCGAUACUGACGCUGAGGUGCGAAAGCGUGGGGAGCAAACAGGAUUAGAAACCCCGGUAGUCCCAU
This 447-nucleotide ribosomal RNA is filed under the name uncultured organism. RNAcentral's name for it is "partial 16S ribosomal RNA". It matches the Rfam family "Bacterial small subunit ribosomal RNA", at positions 335 to 798 of the family's 1533-position model. The record is from RNAcentral.